CCCUAGCCGUGAUAGAAGUGGUAUCCUUUUUUGUCUCGUUUUUUCGAGACAAAAAAGAUACAAGCGGAUAGCAGGUAACAGC
RNAcentral lists this small RNA (82 nucleotides) under Flavobacterium aquicola. RNAcentral's name for it is "Flavo-1 RNA". It matches the Rfam family "Flavo-1 RNA". Lineage: Bacteria; Pseudomonadati; Bacteroidota; Flavobacteriia; Flavobacteriales; Flavobacteriaceae. The record is from RNAcentral.